AUUCUCAGGGUCCAUACCAGCGAGAUCUUUGACUCUCAUGGGAAUCCCACCAUUGAGGUGGAUCUCUACACCACAAAAGGUCUCUUCAGUGCUGCGAUGCCCAGCGGUGCGUCCACUGGCAUCUACGAGGCCCUAGAACUCCGAGAAAGUGAUAAGACCCGCUUCAUGGGGAAGGGUGUCUCAAAGGCUGUUGAACACAUCAAUAAAUAACACUAUCACACCUGCUCUGGUUAGCAAGAAACUGAAUGUUAUGGAGCAGGAGAAGAUUGGCCAGCUGAUGAUCGAGAUGGACGGCACCGAGAAUAAAUCGAAGUUUGGUGCAAACGCCAUCCUGGGA
Molecule: long non-coding RNA, 337 nt
Filed under: Rattus norvegicus (Norway rat)
Lineage: Eukaryota; Metazoa; Chordata; Mammalia; Rodentia; Muridae
Description: long non-coding RNA NONRATT023061
Source: RNAcentral